RNAcentral lists this ribosomal RNA (165 nucleotides) under Colletotrichum sp. P1BL1a. RNAcentral's name for it is "Glomerella sp. P1BL1a 5.8S ribosomal RNA". It matches the Rfam family "5.8S ribosomal RNA". From Rfam's summary of the family: 5.8S ribosomal RNA (5.8S rRNA) is a component of the large subunit of the eukaryotic ribosome. It is transcribed by RNA polymerase I as part of the 45S precursor that also contains 18S and 28S rRNA. The record is from RNAcentral. Lineage: Eukaryota; Fungi; Ascomycota; Sordariomycetes; Glomerellales; Glomerellaceae.
AAUCUUUUAACACUUUAUCUCUGGAUCUCUUGUCUCCGGCAAACAUGAAGAAAUGCGAUAAAUGCUGUAACUUGCGUAAUUUGCAGAAUUCUCUGAUCUUUGAAGUCUUUUAGCGCCCAUUGCGCUUCCGGGUAUUCUGGCUGGCAUGCCUGUCCUACCGCCCUU